CAAGUGAAGAGCAAGACAGGGACAUCCCCAGAGUUCCAACCACAUCUCUAAAACCAGACCAACCUACAGGAUCCUAGAAUGACUCUCCAAUUCUCCAAACACUGAAAAAGCUAUAUGGGGCAGCCUCGUGGGCUACCUACAGAGCUUCCGACUGGACGUGACCCAUCCACAGAGCUUCAGGAUCACAGGGGGCCCGCCCUGCUGUUACCUACAGGGCAGGGGAGCUCGGACUUUGGCUCAAAACACAGGGCACUCUCACCCCUGUCCGCGGAGCGCUGGGAAGGUUAACUGAGAUUAUGAACUUGGACCUGCUGGGUAUGCCAAAAGGCUCUAAAUAAAAAGCCUUUUCCUGGGUUCACGGGAGCAGCCAACCUUAUAAUCCUCGUGGACACAUGGUAGCCGGCGAUUCAUCAAAGGCUCCUCCGUCCUCCCCCAAGCUUCUGGGACACACAACCCUGGUGUCUCUAACUUUCCUGCAUAUCAACACAAGGAUUCUGGCCUUGAGGACCCCAGCUGAGUGGCUCCUCCAAUGGGAGAUUCAAGAAGGCCCUGGGCUAUGUGAUGGUACAGAGCACCACCCCCCUGACCUGAACGCUGCAGAAGGACCUUAACCGGCUCCGCUCCUCCCCUUCAGUCCAGGGUGAGCUUUUCACGAAGAUCUUAAACUCCUUCAUAGGUCGAAGGUGUCUUAGGAUAAAGGAUAGAUUCCUAACCAUGCCCUACGAGGCCCUCAUGGCCUGCCUCAGCUGAUACCUCCAGCCCAGCUCUCCUCGGCCCUACUUCCACCUGCCACAGCAUCCUCUCUGCCUCCAGCCUGUGCCCAGGCUGCGCCUUUCACCUGGUCCUACAUCCCUUUCAACCCUAGGCAUCUUUCAAAGAGCCGCUCAGUCACUGCAGUGAGGUUUCCUUGAUCCCUAGAAGACUCAGGUCCUAGAGCCCUCUGUGUUCUCCUACGCAGCCCUCAUAUCAGCUGAGAACUACAAAUUUAAUUGGGUGUUUGACUUCACUGUUGAAACCAAAGACUCCAUGAUGGCAGGGGCUACAUCCCUCUUGUUCACCACUGGACCUCUAGUGCUGAGUGCAAUGACCAGCAUGAAUAUGUGAAAAUAAACGAGAGAAUGAAUGAAUAAAUGAAUGGUCAAACAAACAGCCUUGGGGGAUGAAAAGUGAAAAGGGAAGUAAAGCCGGAAGCAGAUGGGGAGACCUAGAUUUGAUUAUUCCUACUCUAGGAACUCUAGUGGAAGGUGGAAGACAAGAACAUGGGGAGGAAGCCGAGUCAUGUGUAAGAGGGCAGGGUUGCCUUGGUUGCUGGGGGUACACAGGACCCCAGGAGGAGGGGGUCAUUGACCUGGGGGCCAUGGAGGAGCACUUGCUGAUAAUUCACGUCCGUGAUCUCAUUCUGCCUCACGCAAUACUGAGGUGGGGUGCUAUUAUUAGUCCAUUGUUACAGAUGAGGAAACUGAGUCCCAGGGGGAUGAAGGACCUGCCUGAGGUCCCACAGCUGAGAGGGGGUGGGGCCAGGGAAGUGACUGUUCACACAAGGCAGUGAGUUCUAGAUGUAAGCGGGAAAAGUCUCUUACGCAGGGCAUCUCUGCAAAAAAGUGAAACAAAUUUAUUAGCAUCUCCCUGAAACUGCUGGAACAGAAAUGCUUACACUUGUAGUAAGUCAGCGUGGUAAGCGAGAAUGAAUUGGAUUGUUCCAGGCUUAUCAACAGAGAACCUACUCUAGCCAAGUCCAAUGCCAAACGUCUCACCUGCAUCAGCCCCUGCGAUCCUCAGAAUGGCCCCGUGAAGCUGCUGGCACUAGCAUUGGGCCCAUUUUGCAGAUGAAGACAUGAAGCUGAAAGAAGUUCCUGUUAC
Mirounga angustirostris (Northern elephant seal) is the source of this 1860-nucleotide long non-coding RNA. RefSeq lists it as uncharacterized. NCBI's taxonomy places the organism in Eukaryota, Metazoa, Chordata, Mammalia, Carnivora, Phocidae. The transcript is spliced from 3 exons. The record is from RefSeq and is a predicted model, not a curated record.